Molecule: long non-coding RNA, 815 nt
Organism: Patiria miniata (bat star)
Lineage: Eukaryota; Metazoa; Echinodermata; Asteroidea; Valvatida; Asterinidae
Exons: 2
Source: RefSeq, a predicted model, not a curated record
UUUGUCUGUUUGUUACUCACAAGCUUGAUGCUUGAGUGAACAGGAUGAAGAAUAGGGUUAAUUUGAAUAGAAUGUCAUUGAGCACGUAAUAGAGUAAAGGGCGUGUGUGGCCGUGGUAUGGCCAUUCUAGCCUGCGUCCACCACGCGCUAGGUCGGUAUUUUUAAUAACGACCAUAAUACAUGGUAAAUUCCAUUUAAAAGAAGAUGAGACACUUUGAGUAUGUAUACGUACCAGUAAGUUAUGCAUUCAAGAAUUACACAAUGUAUAAGGGACAGGCCACAAGGUUUUCCAGAGUUUUACCUCAUAUAGUUUUAUCUCUGGUUUUUCACCCUGGGCAAAGUCAGUUAUAGAGCAAAAUCAUAGAUCUAUAAUAAUACAGUAUUAAUUACAAUUUAAGUUACAGCAGCGUUAUUGAAAGUGAGCUAUAUACGAAGACCUCAAUCGUGGAAAAAGAGCUUCCAUCGAAUGUUUUUGUUAUUACAAUGUAUACAGCAAUUUGAAUGUAAACAUGUGAUUUUUGAACUGUAUUAAUGAACUGAAAAUAACUCAGCCGACGCUAGCCAUGGCGACAGGCUACAUGCAACUAAUUGUGAUGUUUGCAUGUAUAAUUAUUGAAUGGUGAAAGGGACUAUAGUUAGCGCAAGUAGUGCGCAUAGAACAGACUCGAUAUAAUGAACACGUCUUGAAAGAAUUACGUCUUUAUGGAUUAGGGAAACAGCGCUAUCUGAUCGUACGGUGUAAAUAUACAAUUUGUAGGAUGCAGUCAGUCCCUUACAGUGAGGUACAUUAAUAACAAAAAUGCUUAGGAUCGUUA